Molecule: long non-coding RNA, 2034 nt
Filed under: Malus domestica (apple)
Lineage: Eukaryota; Viridiplantae; Streptophyta; Magnoliopsida; Rosales; Rosaceae
Description: long non-coding RNA (MDOM_LNC001428)
Source: RNAcentral
AAAUUCUAGGGUUCUUCACCUAGGUUUUGGUGAAAUUGAAGCACUUCCAGGCCAAAUUGGCCUUGGUCUCAGGUAUGAAAGUUGUUCUACUCAUUGAGAUCUUCAAAUCUGGCAAAUUUUGGUAAUUUUUGGAAAUAGUUGAAUUUUCCGGCGAGCCGGGGGCGGCCAACCGCCACCCGCGGCGGCCCGCGCGGCGGCGCGUGGCCAAUGGCCCGCCAAUGUGUCAUUAUUAGCUUGUGAUUAAGGUUCUAGGUUCUGUUUUGAUAAUUGAUGGACGUAAAUUGAAUAAUUGAACCUAAGUUGGUUACGAUUCGGGGUUAGGUGAAAAUGUGAAUUGACGAUCCGACCGUUGGAUCGUCAUCAAACUUUGAUACGUUGUAAUACGUAAUAUUUGAGGAUUAUAGGAACUUACGGAUUGGGAAUCCGAUUUACGGAUAUUCCGGAAUUGGAAUUGUAAGUUCAUAAAAUAGAAUGUUAACCGUCACUUAGUUUUGGAAAUUGACGGAGAUCCGACCGUUGGAUGGUAACGAAAUUUUAGGAUGUUGUCCUAGAGGUAUAUUGUGGACCUCUGGAAGUUUCGGAUUUGAAAUCUGAAUUGCAGAUCAUCCGGAUCGAACUACGUAGUGACGUGUCUUCUAUAAGUUAUGUAUUCUAUCGGCAGGAUUUCUGAGGUUGGGUUUGAUUAUUGUUCUAGGUGCUAAUCUUCAUGACGCCUUGAUGUGUGGUGCGAGGGAGUUGUUGAGCGAACUCCAGGUGAGUGGGCAGUUUUGUUUUCGUAUUACCUUUAUACUAUAAAUUUUUCCCAGAAGACGAAUUUAUACGAAAUUAUGUUUUGAAAAUGCCAUGCAUAGAAUUAUUUGGAAAAUGUGAAUUUCAUAUGAGUUAUAUGAUUGAUAUAUGAUGCAUACAUGUUGCAUGGUGCUGUGGAGGCACAGGUAAGUCAGGUGAGUUCAUUAUUCAUUUAAUUGAUUGUUGAUAAGAUGUUUUCAAGCUCAUAACCUGCACCCUAGGUGUUAGUGCCUUAUUUUAUUCACCACACCGCACGCUCGCCUUGGAUCCAAGUAGGUGGAUGUCGUACAGACCAUGUGAGGGUUCCGACAUGCUAGUCGUAUAGAUCACUAGGCGUGAUGAUUCCGACUAGUGGGUGAUCUUAGUUAUGCGCGCUGAUGAUGAUAUGAUGAAGAAGCCACUAGAGCGUAUUUUUACACCUUUCAUCGUACAGACUACCUUACGUGUAGUUCCGAGUGAUGUGCAGAGUAGGGCCGUAUAGGUCACUGUGGUGACUCCGGCUUAGUGAGAUAUUGAGCUAUUGAAUUUAAUCGUAUAGGACCAACUGCAGGGUCUCCGAUUGAUUCCUUAUUUCACCUGAUUUAUAUUUUUUGAUUUAUGGCAUGGCAUGUUUUUCUUGAAAAAUGUUAAAGAUUUGGGAUUCAAGUUUUGAGAUUUCAUAUGGUUAUAUAUAUAUAUUUUUCUGAAAAGUGUUAAAGGUUUGAGAUUUGAGAUUUUUGCUUAUAUAUAUGUUUAUACAUAUGCUAUUUUCUGGGAAAGUAUACAGGUUUUUACGGUGAGGGGUUAGAAUUAUAAAUUUUUUAAAUGAAAAGUUUUCGAAAAACUUUGUUUUUACUGACCCACUCAAUUUUGUUUUGCGCCCCUCCAGGUUCAAGUUAGCAGAGCUUUGGUGGCCACGAGGAAUCCAACGGUGUUAUGACAGAAUUCACAAAAGUAGGACUCACCCUCGGGUGUGUCAUCUUAGUAAUUGGAAAUUUUUUUUUAAAGCUUCUGAACUAUGUAAAUGGUUACGUCACUCUCACGUGACGGCCAGCACGCCCUCCUUCGGGACGGGGUGUGUCAGUUGGUAUCAGAGCCUAGGUUGCAAUUCUGGACAUCUUGAGAAUUUCCUAGUGUCUUCUGUCAGAACUAUACCGCCUCAUAGCGAGCCACGUAGUUCGGAUGAGCCUAAAUUCCUGAUGAUAUAGUAGUUUGGGGGGAAAAAUUAUUGUCACUAUGAUUCAGUCUAUUAUCUAAAGGAACCUU